This 253-nucleotide ribosomal RNA is filed under the name uncultured bacterium. RNAcentral's name for it is "partial 16S ribosomal RNA". It matches the Rfam family "Bacterial small subunit ribosomal RNA", at positions 524 to 776 of the family's 1533-position model. The record is from RNAcentral.
UACGAAGGGGGCUAGCGUCGCUCGGAAUCACUGGGCGUAAAGGGUGCGUAGGCGGGUCUUUAAGUCAGGGGGGAAAUCCUGGAGCUCAACUCCAGAACUGCCUUUGAUACUGAGGAUCUUGAGUACGGGAGAGGUGAGUGGAACUGCGAGUGUAGAGGUGAAAUUCGUAGAUAUUCGCAAGAACACCAGUGGCGAAGGCGGCUCACUGGCCCGUUACUGACGCUGAGGCACGAAAGCGUGGGGAGCAAACAGG